This 1293-nucleotide long non-coding RNA is filed under the name Olea europaea subsp. europaea. Lineage: Eukaryota; Viridiplantae; Streptophyta; Magnoliopsida; Lamiales; Oleaceae. The record is from RNAcentral.
CCGAACUACAUGUAUCGCAAUGUUUUAGCUUCUUUUUGCUCUUUAAUAACAUCAUCUAGUGUCAUUAGGUCUAGAUCUUGAAAGGGUCGGCCCGAGUAUUUCACACACACUUGUUUCAUAAGCAUCUAAUGUCGCAUUGUCGCAUAAACACCAGAUUAUAUACCCAAAGAACAAACCAACAAUUAAAAGUAGUAGAACAUACAAAUGCUAAAAUAAAAUAAACUCAUUCCCCUGCAUACAAAGUGAAAAAGAAAAAAAUUAAGUAAAACCCUAAUAAAGAUGACCAGUUCGAUUCAAGAACCAAGAACCAUUUGAGAUUCGAUUGGUUCGCGAUUCUUAAUUAUUUUUUGGAAACUGGCUGAACCUCCUAUUCCGAUUAAAAUCCCACCCAUAGCUGCCUCACAACAUUAUUCCCAUUAAACACGAUAAGAAAUUAUUAUUUCUCAAAGCUUUGAAGGUAAAACUUUCUCAUCUUUCAAUCCCAACAGCCCACACAGCUCUGGGUACAAAGCCUUCCUUAUUUCUGCAUAGACCUUACCAUCCCAUCUCUUUUUGGCCAAUUCAUCACACAGGCGCAUUGCAGCCUCCACCGCCUCUUCCGGGCUAGGGUACGCUGAGUCCACGAUCCCCAUUUCUACUGCCUCCUCAGCCUUCACUUUUGCGGCCCGUAACACCAAGCUACGCCGCGCUGAAGCAGAUCCGAUCUUGGAUCGUAUUAGAGCCGUGAAGUAAUCGGGCAAGGUCACCCCUAUGUCCAGUUCACUCAUGUACAUCACACUCCUUGAUGCCGUCAUGGUGACAUAGUCGUGGCUCAUGGCUAGUAUCAAGCCGGCGGCAGCGGCGUGACCCCCGACGGCGGCGACUGUGGGCAUCGGUAGGGUUAGAAAAUCAGAGACGAUGCCCUUGAACAGGUCGACCAUCCGGAGUAAUUCAUUCUUGGCUGCUUGAAUCGAGCCUGAUUUAGCGCCGACGGCUUGAACGUGCCUUAAAUCAAAUCCGUUGGAGAAGAAUCUCCCUUGAGCCAGCGUGAUGAGAACGGAGCCGGCGACGGCUUGCGACUUGGCUUCGGCCAAAGCCGAGCGGAUGGAUGAUAUGAGAGGUGGGUUUAAGCGAUGCUCAUCUUUGUUGUCGCCGGUUAACGUUAAGAUAAGAAGGUUGCCUCGCUUCUCUAACGUGCACAUGGUGGCUGCGGGGUGACGAUUAUAGAGAAAAUUGUCAAUUUUGGUAGAGAAGAGAUUGCAUGAUAAUAAUAUAAUAAUCUUUAAAAAGUGUGCAUUCCAAAAUGAAUUAAUC